RNAcentral lists this ribosomal RNA (776 nucleotides) under uncultured Neocallimastigales. Its description in RNAcentral is "partial large subunit ribosomal RNA". It matches the Rfam family "Eukaryotic large subunit ribosomal RNA", at positions 26 to 618 of the family's 3401-position model. The record is from RNAcentral. Lineage: Eukaryota; Fungi; Neocallimastigomycota; Neocallimastigomycetes; Neocallimastigales.
CGUCUAUAUACGUAUAGCAUAUUAAUAAGCGGAGGAAAAGAAACUAACAAGGAUUCCCUUAGUAACGGCGAGUGAAGCGGGAAGAGCUCAAAUUUGAAAUCUUCAAGGUUCUACCUUGACGAAUUGUAGUUUAAAGAAGUGUUUUCUGUUAGAGGAGUAGGCAAAAGUUCCUUGGAAUAGGACAUCAUAGAGGGUGAGAAUCCCGUAUUUGGUUAUUCUUUCUAGCUGUGUGAUACACUUUCAAAGAGUCGGAUUGUUUGGGAAUGCAGUCCAAAAUGGGUGGUAAAUUUCAUCUAAAGCUAAAUAUUGGCGAGAGACCGAUAGCGAACAAGUACCGUGAGGGAAAGAUGAAAAGAACUUUGAAAAGAGAGUUAAACAGUACGUGAAAUUGUCAAAAGGGAAGCGUUUGACACCAGUGUUGUUUUUCCGAAAAUCAAUUAAGAGUGGCUUGAUUUUGUGUUGUAUUGACCUUAUCAGCUUUCUUCACUCUUUUUCGAGUCUUUCUUAAUGCACUUUUCGGUUAACAAGUCAACAUCAAUUUCUUUUGUUGUAAAAGGGUAUUUGGAAGGUGGCUUUCUUUUCGGAGAAAGUGUUUAUAGCCUUAUACCUCUACAAUCGGAGAGAUUGAGGUCUGCAGCGUAGAUCCUUCGGGGCUAGAUACACUUGUGCUAAGUUAUAGCUUUUCAUAGACAACUUGUUGACUAUGUUUAGUCAUGUAGCUUACCCGCUUGUGCUAUUUUACCUACGCUUAGGAUGUUGAGUCAUCACACAUCUCU